UACGGAGGGGGCUAGCGUUGUUCGGAAUUACUGGGCGUAAAGCGCACGUAGGCGGCUUUGUAAGUUAGAGGUGAAAGCCCAGGGCUCAACCCUGGAAUAGCCUUUAAUACUGGAUAUCUUGAGUUCGGGAGAGGUGAGUGGAACUCCGAGUGUAGAGGUGAAAUUCGUAGAUAUUCGGAAGAACACCAGUGGCGAAGGCGACUCACUGGCCCGAUACUGACGCUGAGGCGCGAAAGCUAGGGGAGCAAACAGG
This 253-nucleotide ribosomal RNA is filed under the name uncultured bacterium. RNAcentral describes it as "partial 16S ribosomal RNA". It matches the Rfam family "Bacterial small subunit ribosomal RNA", at positions 524 to 776 of the family's 1533-position model. The record is from RNAcentral.